This 22054-nucleotide long non-coding RNA is filed under the name Vitis vinifera (wine grape). Its description in RNAcentral is "long non-coding RNA (VVIN_LNC002748)". The stretch from base 2804 to 2951 matches the Rfam family "small nucleolar RNA snoR135". The record is from RNAcentral. Lineage: Eukaryota; Viridiplantae; Streptophyta; Magnoliopsida; Vitales; Vitaceae.
GCAUAUCAUGGACCAUAAUAUCCGGCACUCUCACAAGGGAAUAAUAAUACAUUUUGUAUAUCUCACAUCCGGCCCACAUUUAACAGUUCUGGGUCACUUUGCCCUGCCAUUUCAUCUUGACACAUGAAAUCUGAUCACUUUUUCUUUUGCUUUUGCUUUUCCUAAAUCUUAUCAGCAGUGUCCCACCCUUUAGGUGGUCCUUCAUGUAUUAUGAGAUCCAUCAUAACAUUCUAUGAACACAAGCAAACAUUUAAACAAGCAUGAUCGUUUUUCAUUUAUAUUGAUGAUGAAAUUAGAGGAAUCCAUCCAAAGUGGCAGGGCGCCCCCUACAUAAGUUAGUCAGAAUCAAAUCUUAAGCUACAUCUGGACUAUAUUGAUCAUCCAAUUUGAUGAUGGUUGGACUGGACUUUGUGAAACCAUCUUCCCAGGAAUGGCAAGUGGAAAAUUGACUAUUGAAAAUUUUUCAAAAUGACUCUCUCUGUGUCUUGGCCAUUUGGUGGAACUUUUCAAUAUUGUUUUUGCUUGAAAGUAGAAUUAAAUGGUGGAUGCAAUCUAAAAUUGAUGAGCAUCUCCCAGCUUCCCACUUGUUUAUUAUUGUUUUGUUAUUCACUUUUGCAGGGCUCUGGAGGUGUCACUAUAAAGAAAACUGGCCAAGCUCUGAUUUUUGGCAUCUAUGAAGAACCCUUGACUCCAGGACAGUGUAACAUGAUUGUCGAGAGGAUGGGAGAUUACCUUGUUGAUCAGGGCCUCUAGAUCUCUUCUUGAAUGCAUGAUUUCCUUGUUUUUAUUUUUGGUUUUGGGUUUGCAUCUUCUUCUUUCUAUGGCCAUGCACUGGUGCUGGAGUUGUUGCAGGAAAAAUAACCGAGUGAGACAGAGAGUUGUUUUUUGGUGUCCUAGAGUCAGUUUCUUAUCAUCUAUCCCGCCCAUGUUGUCAUAAAUUGUGUAUUCAUCCUCCCACUGCUUUGCUCCAACUGAGUUUGCAGUUUGAAGUUUUGAAUGGUUUGGGAUUUCCUCCUCUUUAUGAUAAAUUAUAUUGUUGAUUUCUUUAAUCAAUAAUAUUCCCUGUUUAUGUGAAUAGCAUCUUAGUGUUCUAUCACUGAGGUGGAGGAUAUUCUUCCUCAGGAAAAAGCCUCAUAACUGAAGAAGCUCGAAUGUUUGGGGUGCCUACAAAUUCCUCUAAGAUUCACAGCAGAUUUUGGUGAUCUCCAUUGUCUAUUGGAUUGUAUUGGUGAACUGUUUCUGUUUUGUAAUUAAAAUGCGAGAAAACUACAGGGUUUGAUGCAUAUGCCUCGGUCUCAACCAAAAGAGCUGCAGGAAAAAUAUCCCCAGUAGUUCCAUUUUGAGAGAUCACCUCUCUAAAGUUUACCCUUCGCUUUGUGUAUUGCCUUUCAAAGAUGGUCCAAAAUCUCCUUUAGUUAAACUCCAUGAUCCUAAAUUGACAUUUAAGUUUGAAAAUUUGCCAAUCGUAUCUUUUCUUUUACAAUCUUUUUUGGCGAUGGGAAGCGAAAUUUAUAUAUAUAUAUAUAUUUCCUGUUUUUUGGCUUUUAAUUGGAUUGAAAAUGUUGGGAUUUUAAAAAAAUUUCACUAUUUUAAAUUUUAGAAUUUUUAAGGGUGCAAAAUAAGAUUAUAUUUUUCAUAUAAAAGUUUCUAUAUUAAGUUUUAUUUAAAAAAAAAAUUGUAUCCAAGCAAGUCUUAAUAAUAAUUUAUUUAGGUUUAUGAAUUUGAUAUUGCAAAAAAAAUUAAAUGAAAUAAAUAAAAAUUUAUUUUCGACCUUCCUUUGGGAAAAGGAGUGGUUCAUCUUUAAAGUUUUCCUUUUUGGUUUUUUUAAUUACAUAUAAAGGUAGAGGGAUUAUAAAUAGAAAUAAUUAGGGGUGUAACACAUUGGUCUAACCCAACCUUAACGCCCAACCCAUCCUGAACCCAAUCCCGGGUUUAGGUAAAUAUUCUCAUUAUUCCGAUUGAGUUUGUGCUAAAUUUUUUUAAUCCGAACUUGGGUUAUGUUCAAACCAAUCUUGGAAUAGUUAAUGUUUUAUAAUGUUUAUAAUAUUUAUUAUUAUGUAUAAUAAUAUUUAGUUUUUUUAUAUUUUUAAGAAAAAUAUCAAGUUAUAAUUAUAUUAUAUGUUUUUUCAUUUUCUAAAGAAAUAUAUAUAUGAGUUUAUUUUUAUUUUUAUUUUUGUUAUUUUAAAAUUUUAUCCUAUAUAUUAUUUAAAUUUUGGAAUAAACAUAUAUAAAAAAGUUUUUUAAAAGACAUUAUAAAUAGAUUUUUGAAUAAUGCAAUGUAAUCAAUCCGACCAUUAUUAGAAUAUAGUAUAAUCAAUCCAAAUUUAACUUAAUCAAUUCAAACUUAGAAAAAUGGGAUUGAAUUGGGUUUGGAUUCGGUACAUUUUGAGAUUAAUUUGAAUUAAAUUUAGGUUGAUUGUUUGUUAAUUCCUAAUAAAUAAAUGAUGUAAAAAGACCAGAGAAAUAAUAAAUAAAUAAUGUAAAAGAGUAUAAAAGGAAGGGUAGUGAAGAAAAAAAAUGGAAAAAAAUUGCUAGUUGAGCCAGGUCAUUGCGCUAACGACGCAAAUAAGGGGUUGUGUGAAGGGCAUUUUGGUCAAUUUCAUUUGAUGUUUGGAACUUGAAACCCUAGCAAAACCCUAAUCCCGUGUCCAGCGGUCUCAUAUGUGUGUAUAUAAACACAUACGCACAGAGAGUGCCACAACAAACCUACUACUCUCCUAAAGUGUUUUGGUUUCUCUCUCGCUCAUCUGGUAUUGCAAUUCUUCUGCCAGUGAGGGUUUUUGUAGAAAGUUAGGAAAUGUUAGAAGCAGGGAUUGUGUGUAUCGGCGUUGUGCUACAAUUGAUGCGCGAUGUUGCCGAAAGAGUUCCCUGCAAUAAUGAUGGAGGGGAAGGUGGGCAGUUGGGUUUCAUCUCUACCAUUGAAAUUCUCAACAAUCAUCUUCCCCACAUCUCUUCCAUUUCCCCCUUUAUUUAUUUCAUUUUCUAUUGUCAUUGCUCGAUUUUCUUUACUCCAUUCCCAAACCUACCUUCAGAGAACGACUUCGAUUUGAUCUAUUAAUCUCAAACAACAAUCAUUACAAAUUUUUUUUAAAUAAUUAAAUAUAAAAAUAUGAAUAUUAAAAAAAAAUUAUAUAUAUAUCAUUAUUUAUUUUAUAUUAUUGAAUCUUGAAUUAAAUAAAUUAUAAUUUUAAUAUUAAAUAUAUCAUAAUUUAUCUCAUUAAUCUUAUUUUAAAAUAUUUAUUAUCACUAUAUUUUUAAUUUUUUUAUAUAUUUAUAUUUCAAUUUUAUUUAAUUUUAAAUAUUUUUAUUUUAAAAUAUAAAAAAUAAUUAAAUUUUAAUAUUUUAUAAAUUAAAAUUAAUUUAACAAGAUAAAUUAUUAAUAUGAUUUUUAAUAUUUUUAAUUAUUUAAAUAAAUUAAUGUAAAUAACAAAAAAUUAUCAUCAUAAAUUUGUACUAAAAUUUUAGAUAUUAAAUCUUAAAUAAAAUAUUUUAUUUUAUAUAAAUCAUAAAAAUGAUUUAAUUUUUAUUUAAAAUAAAAUAAAACAUGUUUUGAAUUUUUAAAAUAAAUAUAUUCAUUUGUAUUCCUUUUGAAUGAACAAUGGAUAGCAGAAGAACUGCUUUGAGAAAGUCACACAAGUUAUGAAGAGUCAGCCGCAAAAUCUUCAAGUAUGGACUUCAUAUCAUAUGUUUGUUUCCCAUUGUGAAAUCUUGUUUUCAAUAUUGUUCCCAAUUUCCAAAUUAUAUCAAUAGAUUGAAAAUGAAAAUCUCUUGAAACAUUAAUUGGAUUUGGGAGGGGUGUUUGGGUUAUCACCAAGGACUUGAGAUCAUCAUGAGCCUUAGCUUUAAUGGUCUCUUGGAUGAUAAUGUACCAAAAAUGUAUAUUAGUAAUUAACAUAUAUAUGAAUUUUGAUACAUAUCAUUCAGACAAGUCACUGAGUUUGAAAGCAAUAUCGAUCCCAUUGCUACUCUGGAAACCCACCUACAUAAGCUGAGCAGUAGCCAUUAAUAUGGAUCACAACGAGAUUGCAACAGGCCAUGCCGACACUUCUGAGGAUAAGAAUUGCAAGGAGGAGGCUUCAACAAUGAAAGCAAACUGUAGGACCCCUGAUAUUACAGGCUCUUGGCUACAAUUACCAAUUCCAAAUGUUACCAAAAAAGUCUUUCAAGUCGCCUCACCUUUUUGGUGUCCUGUUAAAACAACUGUUAUUAGUCAGAGCCACUACGGCAACUCAUCAUCUCCACUUUUCAGUUCUUCACUUGUUUUUCAACUCAUCUUUUUUCUGUCAUCCCCUCAAGCAAUGGAUUGUGUGAGCCCAAUCUUGGACGUAGCCACCCGCUUGUGGGAUUGCACCGCCAAGCGUGUAGUUUAUAUUCCUGAGCUUGAAAAAAAUCUCAACUCUCUGAAGAGCUUAACGGAGGAACUGAGCAACUUAAGUAAGGAUGUGAUGGUAAGUGUUGAGCGUGAGGAGGAACUACAACAGAGUAGGCGUACGCAUGAAGUGGAUGGUUGGCUCCUCGCUGUGCAGGUCAUGGAAGCUGAAGUGGAAGAAAUAUUGCAAAAUGGGCAUCAAGAAAUCCAACAGAAAUGUCUCGGAACCUGUCCUAAGAAUUGCAGGUCAAGCUACAGGCUGGGGAAGAUUGUGAGUAGAAAGAUCGAUGCUGUGACUGAAUUAAAGGGCAAAGGGCAUUUUGAUUUUGUGGCUCAUACAUUGCCUUGUGCUCCUGUGGAUGAGAGACCGAUGGGGAAGACUGUGGGCUUAGACUUGAUGUUCGAGAAGGUUCGAAGAUGCCUGGAAGAUGAGCAAGUAAGAAGUAUUGGGUUGUAUGGAAUUGGGGGUGCUGGAAAAACGACCCUCUUGCGGAAAAUCAAUAAUGAGUAUUUUGGUAAAAGAAACGAUUUUGAUGUGGUGAUAUGGAUAGUGGUGUCAAAACCAAUCAACAUAGGAAAUAUUCAAGACGUGAUCCUGAAUAAAUUACCGACCCCAGAGCACAAAUGGAAGAAUCGUAGCAAGGAAGAGAAGGCUGCAGAAAUAUGCAAGUUGUUGAAAGCCAAAAACUUUGUGAUAUUGCUUGAUGAUAUGUGGGAGCGACUCGAUCUCUUCGAGGUGGGGAUCCCUCAUUUGGGUGACCAAACUAAGUCCAAAGUAGUACUCACUACGCGAUCUGAACGAGUAUGCGAUGAAAUGGAAGUUCAUAAGAGGAUGAGGGUAAAGUGUUUGACACCGGAUGAAGCAUUUUCUCUGUUCCGUGACAAGGUUGGUGAGAAUAUCUUGAAUUCACAUCCGGAAAUAAAAAGGCUUGCAAAGAUUGUCAUUGAAGAAUGUAAAGGACUGCCACUUGCCCUCAUCGUCAUUGGGCGAUCAAUGGCUAGCAGAAAAACUCCUCGAGAAUGGGAGCAAGCAAUUCAAGUGCUGAAGAGUUACCCAGCAGAGUUUUCAGGUAUGGGAGAUCAAGUAUUUCCAAUUUUGAAAUUCAGUUAUGAUCACUUGGACAAUGAUACCAUCAAAUCAUGUUUCCUAUAUUGUUCUACAUUCCCUGAAGACCAUGAAAUUCUGAAUGAAGGCCUCAUAGAUCUUUGGAUUGGGGAGGGGUUUCUGAACAAAUUUGAUGAUAUACACAAAGCACAUAAUCAAGGAGAUGAGAUUAUUAGAAGCUUAAAACUUGCGUGUCUCUUGGAAGGCGAUGUAUCUGAAGACACUUGUAAGAUGCAUGAUGUGAUCCGUGACAUGGCUCUAUGGUUAUCAUGUGAUUAUGGGAAAAAAAGACACAAAAUUUUUGUACUAGAUCAUGUUCAGUUGAUUGAAGCAUAUGAAAUUGUGAAAUGGAAAGAAGCUCAACGGAUUUCACUAUGGGAUUCUAAUAUCAAUAAAGGAUUCUCUCUAUCACCUUGUUUCCCCAAUCUCCAAACUUUGAUUUUGAUAAAUAGUAACAUGAAGUCACUUCCAAUUGGAUUCUUCCAAUCCAUGCCUGCCAUAAGAGUUUUGGAUUUGUCACGUAAUGAAGAAUUAGUGGAGUUACCUUUGGAGAUUUGCAGAUUAGAGAGUUUGGAAUAUCUGAAUCUAACAUGGACCAGUAUAAAAAGGAUGCCUAUAGAACUAAAGAAUUUGACAAAACUGAGGUGUUUGAUAUUGGACCGUGUAAAGUGGCUUGAAGUAAUUCCAUCAAAUGUGAUAUCUUGCCUUCCAAAUUUGCAGAUGUUUAAAAUGGUGCACCGCAUUUCCCUAGAUAUUGUGGAAUAUGAUGAAGUUGGAGUGUUGCAGGAGUUGGAAUGCUUGCAAUACCUGAGUUGGAUAAGUAUUAGCUUACUUACAGCCCCAGUUGUUAAAAAAUAUCUCACCUCCUUGAUACUGCAGAAGCGCAUACGAGAACUAAACAUGAGGACGUGCCCAGGUUUGAAGGUGGUGGAGCUGCCACUUUCGACUUUGCAAACACUCACUAUGCUUGGAUUUGAUCAUUGUAAUGAUUUGGAACGUGUUAAAAUAAAUAUGGGACUGUCUCGAGGUCAUAUCUCAAACUCAAACUUCCACAACCUUGUUCGUGUGAAUAUUUCUGGGUGUCGAUUCUUGGACCUGACCUGGCUUAUUUAUGCUUCAAGCCUUGAGUUCCUGUUGGUUCGCACUAGUCGUGACAUGGAAGAAAUUAUAGGGAGUGAUGAGUGUGGAGACUCAGAAAUUGACCAACAAAAUCUCAGCAUAUUCUCAAGACUUGUGGUGUUAUGGUUGCAUGAUCUCCCAAAUCUAAAGAGUAUCUACAGGCGGGCCUUGCCAUUUCAUUCCCUAAAAAAGAUCCAUGUGUAUCAUUGUCCAAAUCUAAGGAAAUUGCCAUUGAAUUCCAAUAGUGCCAGCAACACUCUAAAAAUAAUUGAGGGGGAAUCAAGCUGGUGGGAGAACUUGCAGUGGGAGGAUGACAACCUCAAGCGCACUUUCACUCCGUAUUUCAAAACAUGGUGAUUGAAAGGAGGAGAUGGUUGUAGAGUUCUAUGUCAUGGAGGUUUGCAGGAAUUGUUGGGUUUCCUUCAUUUCAUUUAAUUUCCUCUCUAUUUUCUGACAAACCCAUUGGUCUUCCUCUCCUAGGUACAUUUUUCGUUUUUGCUUCCAUUUGUUUUAUGUUAUGAGAAAUGUUUUAAUGCAACAAAGAAUUGUCAAAGAGGUGAGAUUCUCAUGAUUGGCAAAUGAAUGAUUGUUUUUGUAGGACAAGUUUUUGAAGAACGUUUGGUGGUGAGUGAUUGGGUGCUUGGAAUGCAUAGCAAGAGUAGCAUAAAUAAUUGUUGAAAAGAAAGAACCUUUUGUAUGUAUGUGUUAUAUCAUUUCGUAUGGUGAUCAGUUUUAUAUAUUUCUAAUGCCUCAAUGUGCUUUAGCUGUAAAAUUUGACCAUUCUUUGCUUGAGUUUCUGCAUUGAAAUAUUUCAAAUGUUGUCUUAGGAAUCAAAUGCACAAUACCAAAUAUAUACAAUAACUUCUUCAAAAAAUCAACUUUUUUUUCUUUUUUAAUAGAACUACAAGUUUAUUUGGGGUCAUUAAAUCUAAAGGUUGGAUGGAGUUUGUUAAAUUUGAUAUGUAAACUCUGCCUAAAAGAUCACUUAUUCUUAAUUAUAUUUGCACUCUCUUUUGCAUCCUCAACAAGGAGAACUCUUAUCAAUCCCUUUGUGAUAUUCAGACUCCUUUUCAAUUCAUGGAAUUUGAAUGACAACUUUAUCUUUCUUUAAAAAUACAAAUAAAAAACGUGAACUCUAUUUGAGAAAUCUUUUUUAAAACGAUUAUAGGAAAUAAUUUUAUGAAAUUGUUAUUUGGUCUUGCAAAACAAAAAUCUAUUAAAAAACUUGAAAUAUUCUUAACUUAUUUGUUUUUUAUAGUUUUAAAUAUUUUUUAAAAGUGUUUUUUUUUAUACAUAGUACUUUAUGUUUAAUCAUUUUUCAUUUAUAUAAUUAUUUUUUAAAACAACUCUAGAAAAAUAUAAAUAAAUAAAUAAAAACUGAAAACAAUUAAAAAAUGUUAUAAAAAAUCUCCAUAGUUUUUAUUUAUAUAUAUAAAAAACUAUGUUUUCUAACUAUCAAACAUAUUUUCCUUUUUUUUUUGUUCUCAAAAAUAAAACAAACUUUUAAUCUUCAAUGAUUUGAAUUUCAAGGUUCCAACGAGGGUUUGAAAUUUCGAAAACUAUCAACUAAAUAUUGUCAAUAUUUUGUUUAUCAACCUAGGCCGAUACGAUAUCACUAUCAAAAUUUCCUUGGUUUCCCGAUAUUUUCUGCCAAUCCAUGCGGUCAAAGCACUCCCACGCACUAGUCAACAUGGUCAAAGCCAAAAUUAUUUUUAACUUUAUCAAACCUGCGUUUAAAGGGUUAGUCUGAAGUAAUAAAAUGCAUAGUUGGGCUCAAAAGAUAGAGUUUUGGGUCAAAAUGGCCCAUUUAUAUAUACAUAUAUAAAAUUAGUGUGGAUCCCGCAUUUUGGCUCAUGCGUUUCCACUCAAUGGCGAGCUCGAUUUUUAUUCAAAAAAUGAUUUUAUUUAUUAGAAAAUGACUUGGAGUCGCCACUUAUUUUUGUUUUAUUUUUAAAAGGAUAAACAAAAUAAGAAAUAAAACCCUAAGUGUGACUCCUUAUUUUGGAAAAGGUGGUCUGUGCAAAAUCGGAUCGGGUUCGAGGGUUAGGUUACCUAUCGGGAAUGUACGAAAAAGACCGUAGCACCCCUCUAAGUCUCUAAAGUCGGGUCUCUACUAAUAAAAUGAAGUUAACGUGACAAUUGAUGAGGAAAUCAAUGAAUACUCAGAGCGAUCAUGCAAUUGUGAGAAUCAAAACACUCAAUAAAGAAUGACCAAGGUGAGAGUGAGUGCGUACCUGGGUAACGAGCCACCAUGCGCUAUCAAAAGAGGAGGUUAGUGCACAAUAAUAGACAUAAAACAUAACUCACAUGCCACUAAAUCGAGUACAAAAUCAUCAUAUAUCAUGAUUCAAUCAAAUUGACUUUAAGAGAAAACAUCCAAUAAUGUUGGGCCCCCACCAAAGCCCAUUUAUUUUUGCACGAAUUAAUUCCAUAAAUUCCAUCACUUGAAAUUACAAAAUUGAAUUUAUGCUUAUUUUAAAAUAUUUAAAAAAAUCAUGAAAAUUGGAUGCGGAAGAAAAUGACAGCUAAUUUUAUUGGAAAAAUAGAUUUUUGGAACCUAAAGAAAAAAUGCUAAGGAUGAAAAAUGGAAGAGUUUGAAACCCAUCUGUAUUCUAGCCGACGGCUCGAAUGGUCUGGGCUCGCCUUUGGGUCAACACCUUCUGGUCCUUGAGAUCCUCGGUUAAAGCCCCAAUGUCUGUCCAUUUGAGAUCGGUGAUCUCUUUGGACUGAAAAUCAAGGAGAGGGACAUCGCCGUAGUUGGAAGCGAGGGGGUCGGGAGUGUCGUCUAUAGAAAUCCCGGCAACAGAAGCAGAGGCGGCGAAGGCUGCUUCUUGGCAGCGGCGCUGCUUUUCAAAUGUGGCGGCCUCUUUCUUGGUGUCAACAGUGGCCAAGGCCACGGUCAUGGCAGAUUCGGUGAUGGUGCCCAUCGACGACGCCACGACAGAGCAUUGAGAGAUGGAUGUUGUGACUGAGUUUAGUACCCAGCUGGAUAGCGUUGGCAAUGAAGUCAAUAUAACCUGGAUGGAAGAUGACGUCAUUAUAAGUAUAGGAAUAGCCUUGGUUAAAGAACUUCACCGCCGGAAAACCGUUUUCGAUGGGAACUCCAUCCAUACCUCCGACAGUAUCGGAAAUUGCAGAAUUUCUUCCCAGGCAAUGGCUCUCUCAAGCUCACUUCCUCUCAUGUACUCUCAAAGCUCCUCACUAAUUUUCUUUCUCAAACUUUUAUCCUCCUCUGUAACUUUCCCGUUUUCUGCUCUUUUGUUCUCUGCCAAGAGCCUUGUCAUGUCUAAACUGAUUUGGAUAAUCCUUAAGACACUUAGUGAACUCAUCGUCAUAGAGAAAACUGCAUGUAUCGGCCACCCCAAGGAACAGCCAAGCUAAACCACCAAGCUUGAAUGAAGGGACACCCUCCAUAAACAUGUGACGGAGAUAGCCCCAAUAUAGAGCCACUCCUAUACAAGCUACCUCCAUUCUUUCUCUCUAAGCACCCUUUAUCUUUACUGUAUUCUUUUCCAGUUUCAAAUGAGCCAAUGUUCUGUGAGGGGGAUCUUGCAUCAUUAUGGUUCCAAGGCUGUAUCUCUGACAACUGUUUUUGGAAACUUAGCUGCUAAUCAAAUCCAAUGAGUAAUUUAGAGCUUCCCUCAACUUUGAGAUGCUAUCCUUGCCUGGAAUUACCAUUUCGAAUACCUUCUGCAGUUUGAGAGUGAUGAAGAGAGCCAUUCCCAUUCAUAUCUUGCAGACCGUUACAAAAUGAUUGAUAACCUUUGAGAUACAAAACGUUGAUUUCAGAUGCAAUUUCCUCUAACUUCGAAUAAAACCCCUUUCGUUUCUCUACACAUUCAGUGCAUCUAAAUGUGGGGACUGUUCCAACUAUUGUUAGAGAUAAAUUGUUCAUACAGAUGCUGCAGCGGAGGAUGCAACAAACCAAUCAUCCUCUUCGUCCAGAUGCUUUCUAUUUUCAUGUUGCAAAAGCUUCCUCACUGUAGAUGGGAUGGGCCCAUGGUAAACAAUCUUAGGAUCUUUUUCAUCUUCCUCCCUUUCUUCCUCUCUCCACGGUUCAAUGUUAAUUUGGCUAUCAUCUUCUGCGGUCCUGGCUUUAGAAACCCAUCUCCUCUGAGAAGCAACAAGCUGGAUGGUAGAAAUAACAUCCGGUUUGGCACUUGAGGUAUGUGGCCUUGUUGAUACAUUUUCACCUGAUAUUGCCCUUGCAGACGACCCUUCUAACACACGCCAUUUUUGCCAAGGCCAGCGUGGCAGAUUCGUCAAUUCUAUAUACACUGUGCCCAAAAAUCGAGGUUGUCCCUGUGGCUGCCAGCAUACACGUCUCAUGCCAUGUACAACUCUAUACUUAAAGAAUGAAUAAAACCUCCUGAUUUUAGCUAGUGGUCGUGAGCAGCAAUGACACUUUCCGACAUGCUCACUCAUGACAGUAUUGUUAGGACGUCAUUGUCUCUGUGUCAGUCAGGGGCAUCACAGAGUAGCCUGUUAGGAAGUGUCCCAAAUUCCUAAUUAGUAUAGAUUCUUUUUGUGUAAAGAAUAUUAUAUAGAAUAUUUAUAGAUUGAUAUAUUAUUGUAAUAUUAGACUUCCUUAUAGAAUAAGGAAGGUUGUUGGAAAUAUCUCUAUAAAUAUUCUAGGUCAUGAGGGGAAAAAGUUAUGAGAUGGAGAUGGGCCUAUAGAGACUAUACGAGGUGGAUAGAGAUGUGAGGAAGAACGGGAGGUACCUGGUGGAGCGAGAGGACUCGUAGUAAGGUAUGGAUACAAGGAGUGGGGAAACAUGGGAUGUUUCGGGAACCCAAUAGUUGUAUAUGGUUUUAUCCUCUGUAAUAUUCUCUAUUGUAUAGUGUAAUUAUUCUCUCUCAUCCGUGGACGUAGGCAUGGUUAGCCGAACCACGUUAAAACCUCGUAUGUGUGAUUGUGUUUAUCUUUGUGUUCUUGAACUAACAUUGUUGGCAUCAAAGCUUUCGCUGGCACUACAUGGCCUCCCCAGGAUUCGAACUCAAGACCUUAAGGUCUUUUUGGUUGUCCUCCUGGUACCAUCUGGGCUACUAGCCCAGAUGGUACCAAGAGGACAACGUCCUAAACCUUAAGGCCUGGACCCAAGUUCGAAUCUUGGGGAGGCCACUCUGUGAUGCCCAUGACUGGCACAGAGCCAAAUAUACUCAAAACAAAUGACAUCCCAACAAGUAUGUAACCCAUUCACUCUAAAUCACCAUUUUAGUUGCAUCCUCAACCUAUGCUCCUUCUGCACCAAUGUGAGCACGAGAUGUGGAAAGAAUGCCCGUGUGACAGCCAACAUUCACUACAACUUAGCCAAUAAUUGAAUUCUGGUGUGGAGUGAUUACUGCCCUAUGUGGUUCACUCCGCGCAUGAUACUUGAUCAAUCUAUCUUUGACAAUUGACUUGUAUGCUAAACCCCUUUCCAGAUAGCUUAUCUCUCCCAGAGAACAGCCAACCGCUCAAGGUAUUCCUCAAUGCACUGUUUGAGGCAAGGACUUUGUAAACACAGUUUACACUCUGUAAAUGAGAGCUCUCAGGUGGUGAUAUGUGAACCAAGACACUCCACAACUAGUUACAUGGGAGCAGAUAGGUGUGAAGGAUGAACUUGCUUAAAAACAGAGCAAAAAUGAUAAGAUCCAAGGAAUAUUCAAGCAAAGCCACGUUUCAUGAAUGAUGAAUGAGCUCAAAACUGGUGGGACAAACGGGAAGUCUUUAAUACAAUUUUUAAACAUCAAACCCAAACCCAAAAGAAGAAUCCCGCCAUUACAGAGGAAAAUAUCAAGAGUAUAAGGGAAAAACAGAAUAGAGCAAGUAUAGGCAGAUAAUCGUAUUCAACCAAAACAACCCUGUGGCCCUUAAUGUCCACAGCAAACCAUAAAACGAUAUUGAUAGAUUAGCAAAGAAUGAAGUUGGACAUUAAGAAACAAAAACGUAUCGAGCUCGAGGUGAUCUUACCUGAUGAUCCACAACACGACCUUCAUUUGCUUCUCCUUCUUCCUCCUUUGAUCAACCCAGAAAAAUAUCCUCUCCUUUCCCUCGUUUCCCCUCCGAACUCAAACUUGUCCCUCAAGCUGAAGGACCCCUCAAUCUCUCACCUCACUAAAAAAUGGCUACCUUCUCCUUCCUCCCUCUCUGGCUUGCUCUCCAAGCUAAAGAUCUCUCCUUUCUUUGUUUUUCUCUUUCAAAAAAAUGUCUCUGUAGAGCCACCACCCAAACCCUCACUCUGGCAGCUUGCUCCUCAAGCCAAAACAGCCUCCAAAAAUAUCUCUCUCUCAGUACCAAACCCUAUACACUCCUUUUCUGAAAAAAAAUCAGCAACAAAAUCACCACCCUCCUCUCACAGCUUGCUCUCCAAGUUAAAAACCUCCUCUCACAACUUGCUCUUCCUCCCAACGGCAGCAAAAGCACCACCUUCCUCUUAACAGCCUGCAGCUUUUCAUAACCAACACGCUCUUCCUGGAAUCUUCUUUUACAAGUGUCACUUUUUUAUUGCCUCUCCUAAGCACUAAUGUGAUUCCAUAAGGAUAAAUUGGGAAUUGACACGUGGCCCUCCAGGAUUGUGACAUCUGGUAAAAUAACCUGCAAAAAGGAUGAGCCCCAAAUGGGGGUCUACAAUUAGAUAUAUGAAACUUAUAUUCAAAUUAACCUUUUUUUUGUGUCACGUACGAGCAAAUUUUAGUUAAAGCCUCGACUAAAGUCGUAGAGGCUUUAGUUUUUGAACUAAAGUCAUAGAGGAUUUAGUUUUUGAACUAAAGUCGUGGUUGCCUCAAUCAGUUUUUGAACUAGAACUGUAAUUGUCAAUCAAGACUUCAUUUUUUAACUAAAGCUUCAAUUGUCAAUUGAGGCUUCAAUUAAUUUUUUUCUUUUACUUUAAAAUUUAAUUAAAAACUAUAAAAUUAUAAUUUAUUAUUGAAAUUAAAAAUAUAUAUUUUAAUAAUAAAUUAUUUAUAAUUAAGGUUAACAAUUUAGUAUUACUUCAACAAAUUGAUGAAUAAAAGAUAUAAAAUUAUAUAAUUUAUAUAACAUUUAUAUAACAUAUAAAUAAGAUAUAAAAUUAUAUAAUUUAUUAAUUUAAGAUAUUUAAUUUGUUGUUUUUUAAGAUAUUAAUUUAUUUGUAUUAUGACAAAUUUAUCUUUAUCAAAAUAAUAGUAUAGUCCUAACCUGCAGUUGUCAACUAAUAUGUACUUUGUUUUACUUUUAAAUUUAAUUAAAAACUAUUAAAUUACAACUUAUUAUUAUUGAAAUUAAAAAUAUAUACUAGUAUUACUUCAAUAAACAUAAAUUGAUAAAUAUAAUACAAUAAAUGAAUAUUUUAUUUAUCAAUAAAUUAAUAAUCUUAAAAUAAUAAAAUUAUAUAACAUACAAAUAAGAUAUAAAAUUUUAUAAUUUAUUAAUUUAAGAUAUUUAAUUUUUUAUUUUUUAAAAUAUUAAUUUAUUUGUAUUAUGACAUAUUUAUCUUUAUCGAAAUAAUAGUAUACUAUUAAGUAAUUAAUUAGAAAAAGUCUACAACCAAAAUAUAAUUUUUAGUUUUUUCAUCAAAGUCACAAAAAAAUACUCACUAAACAUUUAUAUAUUGGGGGAAAAAAUGUAUAUAAUCUCAUAUACCUCCACAAGGAGAGAAUCUAUGGAUAAAUUUCACAUAAUACAAAUAAAUUAAUAUAUUAAAAAACAACAAAUUAAAUAUCUUAAAUUAAUAAAUUAUACAAUGUUAUAUUUUAUUUAUAUGUUAUAUAAAUUUAUUAUUUUAAAAUUAUUAAUUUAUUAAUAAAUAAAAUAUUCAUUUAUAAUAUCUUCUAUUUAUCAAUGUAAUACUAGAUUCUAAAGCUUGAAUAUAAAUAAUUUAUUAUUAAAACAUAUAUUUUUAAUUUCAAUAAUAAAUUAUAAUUUAAUAGUCUUUAAUUAAAUUUUAAAGUAAAAUAAAUAAAUAAAUAAUUGAAACCUCAAUUAGCAAUUAAAGCUUUACUUCAAAAAUAAAGUCUCGGUUGUCAAUUGAGGUUUCAGUUAAAAAAUAAAGCAUCAAUUGAUAACUGCGGCUUCGAUUAAAAAACUAAAGCCUUAGUUGGCAAUUGUAAUUUCAAUUAAAAAAAAUGAAGCUCAAAUUGCCAAUUAAAAAUUUAACUAAAAUUUUGAAAAAAAAAAUUAUAUUUCUAUGACAUAGCUCUUACAUGGCACCAAAGAAGUCAAUUUGAACAUAAGUUUCAUAAAAUGAUUAGACCUUUUUUUUUUUUUAAUUUUAUGUAUGGGCCAUUUUGACCCAAAACUCCAAAAGGUAGAAGUUUAUUAUGCAAUUCGAUGAUGGAUAUGAUAAGUCUAAAACUUGGUGAUUAAUAUAUUAAGAUUUCAAGAAAAUUUUAAAAAAUAAUAAAUAAAAUAUUUCUCAAAGUCCAUAUGAUAUUCAUAUAAUUUUUAUUUUGUUUUUAUUUUCUUUUUCAAGUUGUCACUAUUAUCUUAAUUUAUUUUUCAUUAAUUGUUCAAUAAUAAUAAUAAUAAUAAUAAUAAUAAUAAUUAUUAUUAUUAUUAUUAUUAUAUUUAUGUGGACCCCGCAUUUCGAUCGCUCGAAUGCGUUUCCCACUCGAUGGCGAAACUCGAUUUUUAUUUUGAAAAAUUGAUUUUUAUUGAUUAUUUGAAAAUGACUUGGAGUCGCCACUUAUUUUUGUUUUAUUUUUAAAAGGGUAAACAAAAUAAGAAAGAAAAACCCUAAGUGUGACUCCUUAUUUGGAAAAGGUGAUCUACGAAAAACCGGAUCGGGUUCGGGGGUCAGGUUACUUAUCGGGAAGGUACGAUAAAGACCGUAGCACCCCUCUAAGUCCCUAAAGUCGGGUCUCUACUAAUAAAAUGAAGCUGACAUGGCAACCAAUGAGAAAAUCAAUGAAUACUCAAAUCGAUCAUGCACGUAUGAGAAUUAAAAUAAGCGUAGAGAGUGACCAUGAUGUGAGAAGCUACGUACCUGGGUGGCAAAUCGAUAUGCGCUAUCAAAAGGGGGUUAGUGAACCAAUAUAGUAUGAAUAUACGCGCAUCACAAAGCAGAACAAAUCAAUCUUGCAUGACAAUCAGAUCAAUCAAUCAAUCAUGAAUCACAUAUGUAGGGCCCCCACCAAAGCCCGUUUAUUUUUGCAUGAAUUAAUUCCAUAAACUCCAUUAUUCGGAAUUACGGAAUUUAAUUCUUGCCUAUUUUUAAAAUAUUUUAAAAGAUCAUGAAGGAUUUGAAAAUUGCUUGCCGAAUAGAAAGUGGAAGCAAAUUUUAUUAAAAAGAGAUUUUGAGUGAUCCUAAAAAUUCUAAAGAUGAAAAACUAAAGAGUAGAAUUCUUUUGAAAUAAAAUAAAAUAAAUAAAUAAAUAAAAGUAAAGAAAAAGAAAUGAGAAUUAGAGAAGGAUAUUUACAAAAAGGGGAUUUGAGAAAUCAUUUUCAAAAUCAAAGGUGAUGGAACAGUAGGUGGCAUGUGGCCCAGAGGUGACCAUGCAUGCCAUGCAAGAGUGGGUCCCACGGUCUUAUUUUACCUUACUCACCUUUUGACGCAUCCAGUCCACAUCGGGGAUGCCAAGACCACGAACAGCAACAUCAAUACAUAACAAGAUGCCUUUCUCGACUUUACAGAAAUCAAAGAAAGUGGAGGUCCGCUUCUGCUGCUUUUGCUUCCCAUGAAUAUCUUAAAGUGACAUGGCCACCAUGCAAGGCCUCCACCAAUGAGGUUUGAUUGGGUGUUCCCUCAAGACCUCCCAUGCAGCCGACUGUGGAGAUCACAUCCAUCUUUGGUUUAAAUUCUCCCUCAACAAGGGGACAGAGAGUACCAUCAGCAUUGUGCCAUUGUGCUAGAAUCCCACGUUCAUUCUUAGGCUUUACACGCCAACAACCAUCAGGCUUCACUUGUAUCUCAGUUACAUCUUCCCCACAAGACUGCAUCGAGGAUGUCAUGCGAUUGAAAAUACGGACCAAUGAUAACAUUCUCUAGAGAAUAUUUCUCGAUACAAAUGGGAUAUUGCCACUUCCUAGAACAUUGGUUCAUUUCCACAAAAAUUUCAAGAUCAGAACGGCCCAUGUGAGCACAAGGUUUGAAUCUUCCAGCAACCUUCAUUCUUGAACCACUCAUAGGACAUCGUAGAUUGACAGUAAAGAAAUCUGCAACUACUUCCAGGUCACUGUCACUAUCAGCAUUAUCAAUUACACCUGGCAUUGUGACACGGCGGGUCCAAGUGCACCACAUUCCGGGCGGUGUUUCUGGAAGCUUGUCGAAGCAGAGGGACGUUGUCGGCAAAGGAGAUCUUGACCCGGCACAGCAGCGGAGCACUGGAAGUGGGAUCCAGGAAAAAGAUCGCGGCCAUCAGACGGUGGAGAGGGAAAGUGGAAGAGCUUCAAUGGUUGCUUGACGUUCUGGUGAUGGCGGAGGCAUUUCGCCGCCGGCGGCAAGCCGCCGGCGUCGUUCAAAGACGGCUUUGCUUGCUCUUUCUAGGAGACAAAUUAAGUGUGUCUCUUAAACUGUUGGUGGCUGCACCGGCAUCAAACUCUUAUGAAUGCAUUGGCUUGCUAAAUCUGAUUGUUUGUAACCUUCACCUUAAGGUCAUCCACCAAGAGGGCAAACCUCUUGGACUGAGUGCCAAGGCCUUUCUCUGAAAGAUCAAGCUCCAGGCCAAGCGCAUGCAUGUAUGUUGCUGAGCCAUCAGCCCGGAACUUCACAUCCUUGUCAUCAGGGUAAGCUCUUUGCCCAUGCCUUCAUCACCAAGGGGUCAUUAACGCUAACGAGCAGAAUUUCAUCAAUGUCUUUUUAUUUCAUCUCUCCUUCCUUCUCAAUGAAGCCUGGCACGUGCUUCAAGCUGCAAGUGGGAGUGAAAGCACCGGGAACACCGAAAAUGAUGACCUUCCUGUCGGUAGCCAGGGGGUACACUGAAGCCUACUGGAGCUGAUCUUGCUCAUCGAAAUAAGUCAGAAUCCCUUCCGGAAUAACGUCGCCAACUGCAAUCAGAGCCAUGGUCACCACCGGAGAUUUUGAUAUCACAAGCUCACUGAUGAAGAUUGUAGCGUGAUCCAACGGUUUCUGUAAAGUCUUCACCAAUUAUGAUUCCAAUACCAUUAACAACAACAUGAUCAUUAGCCAAAGAUUGAACCAAAGUUAAUUCUCGGAUAUCUAAAUGAACGAGGCGCCCAGUGAAAACUGCAAUCUUAAUUUAAACCCUUAUGGCAGCAAGAGAAAAUUUGUCUGCAUCUCGUCCCAUAUCCGACUUUCUUCAAUUCCUCCAGUCUCCUUGAAUAGCCCACAGUUAACAAAAUCUCUAAUAGACCACAUUAGAAGGGAGAAGACAACGACAUGCCAUGAACAUGACAUCUCUAACAUCCCGAUGCAUUCUUAGGUAGAGGAUUCCAAGGACGAUUGGAGACAUCUCUCCAGAAUAAUGAGAACCAAAUCUGUGGCCAAGAAAAGUAUCAACACCACCACUGCCUCAGGGUCCAUAAAGAAGCCAUGAUUGGCAUGCAUGACCAAGAGUAACUAAAGAAGCCAGGGAUAAAAGAAAGUGUAGCUGGAAUCUGGGUGCCACCAUUCCAACUGUCAAACAGACAAGUGUUUCGUAAUGCUGCCAUCUAGGAAGAAAACUCUUUGGACACCUCUUUUACAAACAAAUGAGGCAGUAGCUAAUCCUGAAAGCUGACCAUUUAAUCAACUGAGUCUUUGACCUCCCAUAGCAAAACCCUACUCACCAAACCAUAGUCCAUUCUCACUAUAAUAACCACCUUCAAAACUAACACUGAUAGGACUUGGAGUUGUUGAAACAUAGAAAUGCUCUUCUGGCCAACUUAACAUAGCUUCACGAGAGACCUUCCCAGACCAUUUCCCAAGGAUUUCUCGCGGAGCUUAUACAGAAGUCUGACCCGCCUGCUCUUUGAUAACAGCUUCAGCCUGAGGACAUGUAUCCUUAUUGGAGCUCAUAACCAGAUCCGAGUCUUUUCCUCACAUCCCAUGCAUUUAGAUAAGAGCCACAAGAAGGAAGAAACCAUGGAAACAGAGCAUAAAAGAAAACAAAAUAAAGAUGUCAUCAAAUGAGGCUCCACUUCAUGAGUUAUCAGUGAACCUUCUUCUUAGGUGAGAAAAAUAGCACUAAAUGCAAAUAUUGGAAGGAUUCUUGGGUAUUUCAUAACAGAGACAUGGCACACCAAGAUUAACAAAAACAAGCAUGAAUUCAGGAUGAUAUCUCAACAAGUAAUAAGUGGCCUUCAUUAUCCACCCCAAGCAAACCAACAAUCACUCAAACAUCAAUAAGAAACGUAGAGGAGUAAUAAGAAUCCAAAUCAAACAAUAAGUCAGUUGCAUUCAUACCUGAGAGAACCUUUUCCAGUAAGGCUCUGUUCAGCUGUAAACGCCUUAAGUCCUCCUCCAAUGCCGACUAAACCGGCAAGCUUGCCACUCUGCUCUCUCACCAGCAGCCUCCAAAAGGCGAAACACCUCUGCCCGAAUCCCUCCAAAGUCCUCUUCUCCAGACUAUGGCUCCUUGCCUCUGCCAGAGAACAGCAGCCAAAAACACCCCUCCUCUCUAGCUUGCUGCUCCUAGUUCUCCUUAAACCCUACUCUCUCUCUGAAGCUCUCCAAAAAAUCUCCAAACAAAAGCUCCCCUUGGUUUUCUAGCUACCACCCACCUCGGCAGCCUCAAACCUCUCUGUUCCCUCUCUAAACAACCAAACAAAAGCUCCCCUCUCUCUGUGGUUCCUCUCAGCUCUGGUUAUCCUCCUCUAACUCCCUCUCUCAUGGAAAAACUCCCUGGAACCCCUUCAAAAUAUCUUCUCUCAAAAACCCGAAAGGAAGCUCCCCCCCCCCCCCCUUCUCAUCAAUGGAAAAUCCCCUGAAGCUCUAACAAUCCUCUCCCUCUCAAGCUAAACGAAUACUCCUCAGCAAAACUAUCCAAGUUUUUCUCCUCAAGAAAACAUCCCUCUAAAAAUGACCAGAAAAAAUCACCUUCUCUCCAGUUCUCACCCUCACCCCGAAAGAUGAAUCCCCUCCUCUGUAACAGCUUUUUCUCUCCAGAAAAUCUCUCUCCACUCCGCCCCAAAACGCUCCCCCCCCCCCCCCUUCUCAUCAAUGGAAAAGCACCCUCCGAAAAGCACUCCCCCUCCAGCACCCACCUGCAGCUGCCUUCUGCCCCUCAACAACCUGCAGCUUUUGCAGAUUCCUCCUUGCCAGGUGUCAAUCUCUGAUUGGCUUUCAAAAACACUGUUCUGAUUCCAUGAUAGCCAAUCAGGGAUUGACACGUGGCCUCUUAGAAAUGCUCCAUCUGGCCAAAUAAGCUGCAACAAAUUCAAAAAGAAAGUGCUCCCAAAAUGGGGGUCUACAAUAUAAAAUAUAAAAAAUAAAAUAAUAAUAAUAAUUGGUAUUCAUGCAUAUGUAAACAAUGUUUUUAAUUAUUUAAUAUCAAAAGUAAACUGAAAAAAAAAAAAUUAUCACAUUCAUAUGCCUUUUAAAUACAAUUAUCCUAUUAUUAUUUAUAUUAUGUUUCGAUUAAUUUAUUUAGUAGAAUUUGACCCACCAACACAAAUUGUCAUCCAUGUACCUAAGAUAUCAUAUUUCACUAGGAUAUGUUAAGCGUAUGGAUAUAUUAAGAUAUUAUUUUGAUUGGGAUAUAAUAUCUUUAAAUAUUAAUACCGAUAUGAUUUACUAAGUUAUUAAUAAAAUAAAUAAAUAAUAUUAUUUUUUAAUGUUUGAUAUUUGCUUAAAAUAAAAAUUAUAUUACUUUCUAAUAUUAAUUAUUAAAAAAAUAUGAAAUCUUUUUCAUGUCUAAUAUUAUUUGAAAAUUGUUUAAAAUUUUAAAACUUCAUCAAUUAAUUAAUUAAUUAAUUAAUUAAUUAUUAUUAAUAUUCAUUAUUAAAAUAUUUAAACUCUAUAAAAAAAUUAUAUUAUAUUAUUUAAUAUAUAGAAAUAACUUUUAUAUAUUAAACAAAAGAAUGACUAUUAGUUCUAAUAAUAAAUAUAUCGAUAACCUGAUUUUACGGAUAAAAUCUCAACAUGAUGUUACAUGGCCUAAAUGAUUUUGUGAUUUCAGGGAUUUGUGAAACAAUAAAACAUGGGAAUGGGUGGUGAGUUGGUGGGUCCUGUAAGUUAAUUUAGGGUAGGGACCAAGAAUGUGACGUUUAUGGUGAGGGUAGUAGAAUCUUAUUUCUUCUGCCUUCGCAGAAACUUACAGGCAACAAACUCCAAAAGAAGGAGAAAGUAGAUGUGACACAAGAUUCAAAGUGCUGUUUGGGAAAAAGCGAGAAGUGAAUUUUUGCUGAGUUCAUACUCAUAUGGCCAUGCACAAGUAGAUUCUAGAUUCCCAAGUAUUUUUAGUGGGAAUACUUUUUCAAAAACAUUACAAGUAAUUUUUUAACCCUAUAAAUAAUUUUUCAAAAUUUUAUCAAAAGUAUAAAAUCUGUUUGAUUAGAUGAUUUAAAAAAUGUAUCCAAUCAAGUCUUAAUAAUAAUUUAUUAAGGUUUAUGAAUUUGAUAUUGCAAAAAAAUUUAAAUAAAAUAAAUAAAAAUUUGUUUUGCACCUUCCUUUGGGAAAAGGAGUUGUUCAUCUUUAAAGUUUUCCUUUUUGGUUUUUUUAAUUGCAUAUAAGGGUAGAGGGAUUAUAAAUAGAAAUAAUUAGGGGUGUAACACAUUGGUCCGACCCAACCUUAAAUCCCAAUCCCAUGUUUGAAUGGGUUUGGGCAAAUAUUCUCCUAUUAUUCUGAUUAAGUUUGUGUUAAAAAUUUUCAAUCUAAACUUAAUUUGGGUUAGGUUUAAACCAAGCUUGGAAUAGUUAAUGUUUUAUAAUGUUUAUAAUAUUUAUUAUUAUGUAUAAUAAUAUUUUUUUAUUUUUUAUUUUUAAGAAAAAUAUCAAUUUAUAAUUAUAUAAUAUACUUUUUCAUUUUAUAUAAAAUAUAUAUAUAUAUAUAUAUAUGAGUUUAUUUUUACUUUUUUCACAUUAUCUUGAAAUUUUAUCUUAUUUAUUAUUUAAAUUUUGAAAUAAAUAUAUAAAAAAAAAUUAAAAGACAUUAUGAAUGAAUUUUGAAUAAUGCAAUCCGAUCAAUAAUCAAAUUUAGUCCAAUCAAUCCGAUUUUAACUUAAUCAAUUCAAAUUUAGAAAACUGAUAUUGAAUUAGAUUUGGAUUAGGCAUAUUUAGAUAUUAAUUUGGAUUAAGUUUAGGUUGUUUGUUUGUUAAUUCAUAAUAAAUAAAUUAUGUAAAAAAUUGUCAUCAUAAAUUUGUAUUAAAAUUUUAGAAAUUAAAUCUUAAAUAAAAUAUUUUAACAGUUAUAAUAAAAUUGGAAAUUUAAAAAAAUAUAUAUAUAUAUUUAUUUAUGCUUUUCUUUUUUAACUAUUGCUACAAAACAGGUACAUGUACCAUUUGGGGGUCCUUCAUGUAUUAUGGCUUAUGAGAUCCAUCAUAACAUUCUAUGAACACAAGCAAACAUUUAAACAAGCAUGAUUGUUUUUCAUUUAUAUUGAUGAUGAAAUUAGAGGAACCCAU